RNAcentral lists this long non-coding RNA (337 nucleotides) under Setaria italica (foxtail millet). Its description in RNAcentral is "long non-coding RNA (SITA_LNC005302)". Lineage: Eukaryota; Viridiplantae; Streptophyta; Magnoliopsida; Poales; Poaceae. The record is from RNAcentral.
GUGUAGCUACUAGCUGAUCGAGCCAAUCGAGCUAGUUGCCCUCCUCCUUGCUGCUCCAUGGCGUGCACUUGGGCCCAGGAUAGCCGAGGAAUCGGUCGAGGCAGCGGUAGCGGCGCGGGUCCUUCUCCACCUCCGAGCAAUCCUUGCAGUGGCUGGAGCACUUGUCCACCUUGUCGGCGCACCAGCAGGUGGGGACGUACGCCCUGGUGCAGACGGCGAAGUCGCAGCAAUCCCACGGCCUCGGCGUGCACACCGGCGGCUGGACGAUGCUCGUGACCCAGUCGCGGCAGACGUAGCCGUCGCCGGCGAGCGCCUCCUCGCACUUCUUGCAGUUGGC